UCUUGGCUUCUUGGGAGAACAAAUUGUAGGAGAGCAGGAAAAGAAACAUGGAGACAGAUGAGAGCAAUGUGACGUGGACAGUGUUGAUGGCUGUGGAGAUGCAGAGACAUGAGUACCUAGUGGUGCUGCUUACUAAUAUGUGCAAGAGGCUAGAAGAAAAAAUGAGGAAUGUGAAGGCACAUGCUUGGAAAGUGAAAAGCCUACUGGAAUGAAAAGGGCAUCAUUGGCUACUCUGUGAGGACUCUGAACUGGAAAUCAUCCCCACCCUGGGUUGCCACAGCAAAUGUUUAAUCUCAGGCUAGUCUUCCCUUGUAGCUGCCCUGCGUGCCUUACCACGACUCCUGCCCCCACACCCCAGUCCUCAUGGUGUGCCUCAAAUCUUAAUACUAGUCUGAGCUGAAUAAAAACCA
RNAcentral lists this long non-coding RNA (410 nucleotides) under Homo sapiens (human). RNAcentral describes it as "HSALNT0015142". Lineage: Eukaryota; Metazoa; Chordata; Mammalia; Primates; Hominidae. The record is from RNAcentral.